AAUCUUAUAGUUUAUUUUAAAAUUUUAAAUUGCAAAUUUAAAGAAGUAAAUUUAAUUUUACUAAGAUUU
RNAcentral lists this transfer RNA (69 nucleotides) under Calameuta idolon. RNAcentral describes it as "tRNA-Cys". It matches the Rfam family "tRNA". From Rfam's summary of the family: Transfer RNA (tRNA) molecules are approximately 80 nucleotides in length. Their secondary structure includes four short double-helical elements and three loops (D, anti-codon, and T loops). Further hydrogen bonds mediate the characteristic L-shaped molecular structure. tRNAs have two regions of fundamental functional importance: the anti-codon, which is responsible for specific mRNA codon recognition, and the 3' end, to which the tRNAs corresponding amino acid is attached (by aminoacyl-tRNA synthetases). tRNAs cope with the degeneracy of the genetic code in two manners: having more than one tRNA (with a specific anti-codon) for a particular amino acid; and 'wobble' base-pairing, i.e. permitting non-standard base-pairing at the 3rd anti-codon position. Lineage: Eukaryota; Metazoa; Arthropoda; Insecta; Hymenoptera; Cephidae. The record is from RNAcentral.